Long non-coding RNA from Populus euphratica (Euphrates poplar), 463 nucleotides. RefSeq lists it as uncharacterized. NCBI's taxonomy places the organism in Eukaryota, Viridiplantae, Streptophyta, Magnoliopsida, Malpighiales, Salicaceae. The record is from RefSeq and is a predicted model, not a curated record. The transcript has 2 exons.
UAACCUUUUCCUUUUUUUUGCUCCAUAUUGCAGAAAAAUUGGAAUCUAUUUAGUGUAAAUGUUGCAAUGGCUGCAACAGGCAUCUACCAACUCAGUCGCAAGAUACAGCACGAUUACUUUUCUGAGGAAGAAGCUGCUGUUGCAAAGGAAUAAUGAUGAAAACCUGCUGUUCUCUUUGAUCCUCCUGUAAUGAAGUCAUUCUUCCUUCUUGCAAGGCUUUGGAUAGUUAUGAUUUGAAUAUGGCAAUUGUUGUUGUGCUUUUCAAGCUAAAGUGUUCACCUAUGCUCAUUUCCCCUUUAGUUAAUAAUUUGCAGUUCAUCACGUCGAUCAAGAUUGUUGUUGUGCUUUUCAAGCUACAAGUGUUCACCGUGCUCAUUCCCCUUGAGUUAAUAAUUUGCAGUUUAUAACAGUGUGAACCACUGUAAAAUUUCACUUAGUAAAUGGCUUUCGAAUCUUCCAUUUU